UACGAAGGGUGCAAGCGUUAUCCGGAAUUAUUGGGCGUAAAGCGUCCGCAGGUGGCUCUGUAAGUCUGUCGUUAAAGAAUGGGGCUCAACCCCAUACAGGCGAUGGAAACUACAAGGCUAGAGUUUGGUAGGGGUCACGGGAAUUCCUAGUGUAGCGGUGAAAUGCGUAGAUAUUAGGAAGAACACCAGCGGCGAAAGCGCGUGACUGGGCCAGUACUGACACUCAUGGACGAAAGCUAGGGGAGCGAAGGGG
This 253-nucleotide ribosomal RNA is filed under the name uncultured bacterium. RNAcentral's name for it is "partial 16S ribosomal RNA". It matches the Rfam family "Bacterial small subunit ribosomal RNA", at positions 524 to 776 of the family's 1533-position model. The record is from RNAcentral.